UCUUGGGCCGCCCCCGCGGCACAUGGAGGUUCCCAGGCUAGGGGUCCAAUCGGAGCUGUAGCCGCCGGCCUACGCCAGAGCCACAGCCACUCCUUGGGGUUGUUGUGGGCAGCGGGCAGCGGGCGGGGGGCACUGGGCUGUGUGUGGGGUUUAAGGACACAGGGAAGGCUGGUCAGUUACCGCCCCGGUUGGGCGCCAAGAGCCCGCCAGAAAGUCAUGUCUUUCCCCGACUGCAUUUUAUAAAUAAAAUAACAUUUUAAAAUCUAUUCUACUUAGAAAAGUAAAAGCAGUUUAUAGAAAAAUUGGAAACUACAGGAAAAAGAAGACUGCCCCCCGCCCCGUUUCGGCCAGAAUCCUCACUCGGCCUCGCAGCUGAGGUGCUGAGGCUCCGGCUGAGUCAGGGGUGCUUGGGCGGAAGGCCCAGUGGGGUGGACGUGGCCUUGACCUCUGGGCGCUUCCGAAGGGCCUCCUUCCUCUGACCAUGUCUGCUCGAGCCUCAGGUUUCCCAAGGAGUGAAGCCUCCCCGAGGCCUCGCCGGACGAGAGGUGGCGGCUCUGACCUCCCUGGCCUUGCUCCGGCUCCCGGGCCCACGGUGCUGGGAGAACCGCAGGCUGUUCCCGGGGCCGUGACUGAUGCCUCCGUCCAGGGAGGCUGCCCGUGCGGAAAGGCCCGGCUCCCGGGACAAGCGGCGCCCGGAGAGAGGCGGGUGGCCAUGCACCUGCGGCCGUCCUGGUGUCUCCAGAACCAGCUUAUCUGCCCUGAGCACCAGGCUGUGCCGGCCGCCCCAGUACAUGGGAGGGGGGCUGCGUGAGGGUCCCGGGGCGGCCCUCACAAAGCCCCCCAAGGCUGGGGCUCAGAUACAGGACUUGUGCUCUUCCAGGCUGGCGUUGGGGCCAUCGGAUCCGGGGCGGGCAGGGCUGGUCCCCACCAAGGCCCUGCUCCUGGACGUGUCCCCGAGCGCUCACACGGCCCCUCUCUGGGGACCAGGGCCCCUCGCCCCCGCCGUGACCUCACUUGAAUGCACUUACCUCUUUGAAGACCUGCCUCCAAGGACGUCACACUCGGAGGCGCUGAGGGCGAAAUUCGGGGACACGGUUUAGCUGCGAAAGGGGCCUCAUCCCUGUAGGACCUGGCUCCCACCCCAGGCUCCUCUGUGGCACCUGCUCCCCCCCCCAACACCCCCCCACCUCGGGGGCAGGUGGGAAGCCCAGCGGGAAGCUGGGAACACUUGCCCACAGACAUGGGGGUUCGAACUCCGCCUCCUUGCCAGGCCCUCUCGGCUCCUGGUGGAGAACAGCCAGAGCAGUGAUUUCAUCCGCCCCUGGACAGUUGUGGUCUUUCGAUUUAAACUUUAGCAUCUCCCCUCUUGGCAACACUGGAGGAGCAGAAAGACAGCGCGACGCCUUCUUGUCUGGGCGUUGCCACCGCUUCAGCCCGGCCCCGGGUGGAGGAGGGGACCAGCGCCACCGCGGCCCCGGGGGGCAAGGAGGGACGUGGCAUUUCCUGCGGCCACAACUGGGCGAGGCAGGCCCGGCCAGGUGGGCAGCUGCUCUCCUCUGCCAGAGGCCACUGCCAGCCGACAGUCCCCAGAAGGCUGUGUAUCUGGGGCUACAAACCCUGUGCGCUUAGAGUUCAUCCGACCCUCGCGUUGAACUGAUUUUUCUGUGUGAUUUGCCUAAAGAUGCCAUCAGGCCGAGAUGGUCACCCUGGCCCGGACACGCGGAUGGAGGCGUCCACGGGAGGUGCCUGGGGUCCAGCCCGAGACGGCGGGGGCGGGCAUAGCUGCGUGAUUGGGUAUAUGUGUGCACACCUGUGUGUGCGUGUGUGUGGAUGCACGUACACGUGUGGCUGCCUGCAUACGUAAGUGUGUGCAUAGCAUAUGUGGACAUGUGUCCCUGUGUAGGCAAUUAUGUGUGUGCCUGCGUGGACCUCUGUGUGACUGCGUGUCUACAUGCGUGUGAAUCACGGGUGUACGCGAACAUUAAACUGUCACAGUGUGAAACCUGAUGGGGGCAGAGUUUGCUGAGGGAGGCGUUCGGCGUCACUCGGCGGGUAAAAGGCACCCGUUGAAGUGCCCAGGGAUCGGAGGGCAGGUGAGAGAGCAGGACGUCUCGCGGCCAAAAGGCGUCCGUGUCUACACCCCCGCAGAGUUUGGGCUGCCGUGUGGCCACAGCUGCAGGGGGUAUUGGCUUCAGCAGGAUUACAAUGAAAAGCAGAACCAACCCAGAGACGAGGACCCAGGGCCGUCUCCCUGUGGAACUGAUUCAAGACCAGAGGGAAGGUUUCUCCGCUCAAACCACGCAAAGGUGGGAUGCGAUGUUCUGGAAUGUUCACCGAGACGGAAGGGCGCUCCCAGGGAAGGGGACCAACAGGCCGUCGACGCCCAAGGAGCUCAGGCCGGCGUGUCCUCACGCUCCGGGCACCGGCCUGACACUUAAUGCUGGAUCCCAUGGGGCGCCCAUCACAGCCCUCGGCCAUGGCUUCAGGACACCCGGAUGAGAAGGACAGAGUGUCCUUGUCCCCACGUGAGGACCCGGGAGAUGCCUGUGGUUUAUCAGAAGCACCCCGGGAUACUCGGCUCCACCCAAGAAAACGUACAGCACCCAUUUCUGUAUAAGAAUAUAUUAUUUAAAAGACGGUUUAAAAAUAAAAAUUCUGUACAGCA
Molecule: non-coding RNA, 2665 nt
Organism: Sus scrofa (pig)
Lineage: Eukaryota; Metazoa; Chordata; Mammalia; Artiodactyla; Suidae
Source: RefSeq, a predicted model, not a curated record